GUACUCGCUUCGGCGGUACAUAUACUAAAAUUGGAACGAAACAGAGAAGAUUAGCAUGGCCCCUGCGCAACGAUGACACGCAAAAUCGUGAAGCGUUCCACAUUUAA
Molecule: small nuclear RNA, 107 nt
Filed under: Schistocerca americana (American grasshopper)
Lineage: Eukaryota; Metazoa; Arthropoda; Insecta; Orthoptera; Acrididae
Source: RNAcentral